AGGAGAUCACGUAUGUACUGAGGAGCAAGUCCAUGCAAAGCUUUAAGAACGAACAGCAAAAUGUUUAAUAAGGAUUUCCACAUCGAUUUAAAGUCCUUGUUAAAUUUAGCUGGUCUGCAAACUAGCGCACAUAGAAAGGAGGGAGGAAAAUCAACCUUGGAAAGCUGCACCAUUAAAACAGUUCGUAAAAAUUGUUGGUGUUCCACCUCCACGACCUACAGCUCUUGGAGAAUUAAAAAACAAACAAUCUAAAGGAGGAAGAUCCUUCAGGGCAGGAGCGUCACCAGGUCUCCCUCGCACGAAUGGCCAAUAUUUGCUCAUCAACAGAGGUAUCAGGGAGACUGGAAGUAAAAAGUUUCCCUCAUGAGCAGCGAUGAACAUAGCGUGGGUGACGAGCAAUUCCCAGUGCGACACAGGUUUUGUAAACUCCGUCUGCCAGGCACGAUGAUGAAUUCCAAUGAUAAAGCUCUGCAGAAGAGUACCGAUAAAACAUUGUAGGAAAGAUAUUGUGAAGAACAGCACAUAACAACUGUAGUUGACAUGCCAGGAAAAAAAAAUACAAAAAAUGAAAAGUCUGUAUGAAAAUAAAAAGCAGAUUUGUAUUUAAUAAUUAUAUCAUGUAGGGGAACCACAUGCACCCUAUGAUAAUGCCCUGCAAUAGACUGGUAUCUCCACUAGGAUGCAUCUUUGCCAUAUACAUUGAUAAAGCUCAACCACACCCCUGACCAGGGAAAAGAGUGAUGAAGAUUAUAAAUGAGUAAAGGGCCUAGAAUGAAUCUCUGUGUGAGUGAGUACACAGGGUAACAUAAUCACCACCACUUAAAUAAAACUGAGCCAGAGAGAGGCAGAUCCAUGUGGAGUUUCCGUGCUGAGGAGGAAAACAAUGUUGUGCGACAGGCCCUGUCAAAUGUGACAUUGUAAAGAAAUGAUUCUGAAAGCGGGAAAUGAAGGAGUUCUGUUGGGGAAUGCAGUGACUGUCAUCAGUGUCAUCAUGAUUAGGAGUUGAUGGGCGUGUCGUAGGAUCCAGCACAGCGUGAGUUAAAACUAUAGAAAUGGACCAAUCAUAAAGCCUUUAGAAACUUUCUGAGUCAUUUAAGAGGGGGCACUGUGCGUGAGG
Ictalurus punctatus (channel catfish) is the source of this 1117-nucleotide long non-coding RNA. RefSeq lists it as uncharacterized. The record is from RefSeq and is a predicted model, not a curated record. NCBI's taxonomy places the organism in Eukaryota, Metazoa, Chordata, Actinopteri, Siluriformes, Ictaluridae. The transcript has 2 exons.